RNAcentral lists this ribosomal RNA (500 nucleotides) under uncultured bacterium. RNAcentral's name for it is "partial 16S ribosomal RNA". It matches the Rfam family "Bacterial small subunit ribosomal RNA", at positions 28 to 523 of the family's 1533-position model. The record is from RNAcentral.
AUUGAACGCUGGCGGCAUGCCUUACACAUGCAAGUCGAACGGUAGAGGGGGGCAACCCCUUCGAGAGUGGCGAACGGGUGAGUAAUGCAUCGGAACGUGCCCAGUCGUGGGGGAUAGCCCGGGGAAACCCGGAUUAAUACCGCAUACGACCUGAGGGUGAAAGCGGGGGACUCGCAAGGGCCUCGCGCGAUUGGAGCGGCCGAUGUCGGAUUAGGUCGUUGGUGGGGUAAAGGCCUACCAAGCCUGCGAUCCGUAGCUGGUCUGAUAGGACGACCAGCCAGGCUGGGGCUGAGAAACGGCGCAGACUCCUACGGGAGGCAGCAGUGGGGAAUUUUGGACAAUGGGGGCAACCCUGAGCCAGCCAUGCCGCGUGCGGUAAGAAGGCCUUCGGGUUGUAAACCGCUUUUGUCAGGGAAGAAAUGUCCUGGGCUAAUACCCUGGGGGGAUGACGGUACCUGAAGAAUAAGCACCGGCUAACGACGUGCCAGCAGCCGCCGUAA